This is an RNA transcript of Hibiscus syriacus, 880 nucleotides long. It is a transcript of the gene named protein TRANSPARENT TESTA 9-like, with no coding region annotated. NCBI's taxonomy places the organism in Eukaryota, Viridiplantae, Streptophyta, Magnoliopsida, Malvales, Malvaceae. The record is from RefSeq and is a predicted model, not a curated record. The transcript is spliced from 9 exons.
AACCAAAGCAAAAGCCUCACUCCAGUCCCUUGCCGCGCGGACCAAACUCAACUGUACGUCUUCCAGCAAAAUUCCUCCCCUUCUACAGCUUUCUCCUUCUCUUCCUCUAGGGUUUCUUUCCUCUCUCAGAAACUAAAAAAACAACAACAGAUCUCCAUUUUUCACGAUGUGGCGCUUGCUUUGGCGAUCCAUCGAUCGCUUCUCUCUUCAACACUUCAAAUCUGUAGUUACUGAAUUGCGGCAGAUCAAAGUUGUCGAUGACCAGAACAGGGAUGCAGUUGUAGAUCUACUACAAACUAUUCUAGAGAUAGUGACAUAUGGGGACAGAAAAGAUCCAUCAAUAUUUGACUGUUUUAUGGAAUACCAAGUCUUAGCAGAGUUUGUACGGGUACUAAAGAUCAGUACAAGUUCAACAAUUGAGGCUCCAUUUCUUCAGUAUCUAAGCAUAAUGAUUCAAAACAUGGAUAGUGAACACGCAAUUUACUAUUGUUUAAGCAAUGACUAUAUCAACAACAUCGUAGAACAUCAAUAUAACUUCAAUACAGGGGAUCUUGCUCUUUAUUAUGUAUCUUUCUUAAGAGCAGUGAGUAGUAAAAUAAGCAGAGACACACUUUGCCUUCUUGUUAAGGUUCAUGGGGAUGUAGUGGUCUCAUUUCUCCUGUACAGUGAGGCUCUUAAAUUUGCUCAACAUGAGGAAAAGAUGAUUCUAACAGCUAUACGUGCAUUAACUCAACAUAUACAAUAUUUGUGACAAUAAUGUCUAUCAAUUUAUAACAACUCCUCUAGCCUCGAUUUACUUCUCAGACUUGGUUUGUAGUUUAAGGGAGCAAUGUCUACAACUAGAUGCCCUUGUCCAUUCCACAGAGGAAAAAUGUACUUG